CCAGAAAAUGUUAUUUCAAUUUUAUUUGAGGAUGCUAACGGGUCUGCGUGCCCACGCAUUGUUAGAGUGUAAUUUUUGUUUUUGUUUUUCUUAAUAAUAUAAAGGGGACUUUCCCCUUUUUCCACCAAAAAAAAAAACAUUAAAUUUGAUUGAUUACAAGUUCUAGAGAUGCAUGAAGAGUGUUUAGAAGAGUGUAGAAAGACUUGCUGAAAUUUGGGCC
Molecule: long non-coding RNA, 220 nt
Filed under: Capsella rubella
Lineage: Eukaryota; Viridiplantae; Streptophyta; Magnoliopsida; Brassicales; Brassicaceae
Description: long non-coding RNA (CRUB_LNC000320)
Source: RNAcentral